This 66-nucleotide transfer RNA is filed under the name Oreogeton sp. DY-2020. RNAcentral describes it as "tRNA-Asn". Lineage: Eukaryota; Metazoa; Arthropoda; Insecta; Diptera; Empididae. The record is from RNAcentral.
UAGUUGAAGCCAAAAAGAGGCCUAUUAUUGUUAAUAAUAUAAAUGAGACUUAAAUCUCCAAUUAAG